Molecule: long non-coding RNA, 1641 nt
Organism: Argentina anserina (silverweed cinquefoil)
Lineage: Eukaryota; Viridiplantae; Streptophyta; Magnoliopsida; Rosales; Rosaceae
Exons: 6
Source: RefSeq, a predicted model, not a curated record
UUCUUCUGUGUAGGGUUACGAUUUAGCCCCAAAAUUUCUCCUCUUCUCUUUUCCGGAAAUCUUUACCCGUUGUUUUAUUCUUGCCAAGAGCCACUCUCAAAUUCUAGCACAGUCCCACACCCUCAUUCGGAUACAUUCUUUCCAGCCCCAUUAAUUUGUCCUUCUGCAAUUCCACCCGCAAAACCUUAAAUUGGAGGUGGUAGUGGAUUUCAACUCUGGCGCCGAGCUUCUUUGCCACAAGUCAUACACCUCCCCCAAUCGCGGCCUCGUCUCUUUUGGCAAUUGCUUCCUCCCCCCUUCCAAACUAGCGGCUCUGUCAAUUAAGUACUGGGCCUAGUUGAAGGUGAGUUCUAUGCACUCAACUUGCUCGAUGAAAUGCCUCAACGAAGUCGUCUGCAAGUUCGAGCCCGAGUACAGAUUGAUUAGGAAUGGACUAGAUACAAAUGUACUUUCAUCAAGGAAGCAGUUGAAGGAGAGGACGAACAGAGCAAAGAAGAUUCGAGGAACAAAGGCUAGAGAUGCUGCCAAGAAGAAGUGAGAAUAGUGAUCUUCAUGCUUGGUGUUGGCGGGAGCAAACAGUUUAAAUGUCUUGGGCUUGCUGGAGGUCAGCUCUGUGUUGUUCUACCUUAUGUCGAAAGCCUUGUCUUGCUUGACAGCAAGGAUGCAACUUUUUAUUAAGGUGAAAUAUAGAUGGAGAGCAAGUGCAUGACUUUGAUUCGGAGAUGGAGUCACAGAGUCUUUCCCUAUAUAUAUAGAGGCAUAUUCCCAUUUGUUUCUGCAUCAUUCGAUUUUCGAGUAAAGGAGCUUCGACUGGGUAUAUUUGAUUUUGAUAGGGUCCUCAAUUUAUAAUUGCUCGAUUACUGAUAUCCCGUGCCAGUGUCAUUCGACACCAUUACAACUUGCCCAAAACGCCAAGACUGGGUUUCAAAGCCUUUGUGAGUUUUCGGCUCUCUGUCUCCACCGCUUCACCAUCAAGGUUAGCUUUGCAUCAUGAGAAAAAGUGCACAGCUUCUAUGUUAUCUUACUUGUACUAUCAUAUUGUCGUUAAGCAAAGUUGGAGUAUAUUUGACACAUUUUGACGCCUCUAUUUGUGAUACAUGUCUCGAGUGUUUCCUUCAGCUUUACAAACUUAAGAAUGGACAAUAGACAUCAUCCAGUACAUAAGAGGCUAGGACUCAGCACCUUUGCAUUGAGAACUUGCAUCAGCUUACUGUAUUGAGGUAUACGACAUACUAUCAACCUCUUGGCUUUCUGGCUUCAGCAAAAUCAUGACCGGUGAAGCAUACUUUGUGAUACCUUGUAGUCUUCAUAGAGAAGCGUUUUCCUCUCUUUUCUUAAUGUAAGUUCAGGGCUGCAAUAUACUUCAAGCAUUUCAGCUUCUUUUAGUUCAUUUGUGUCCUAGAAGAUGGCAGAUUCGAUUGAACUUCUAUGAGAGCUUGCAAAUGAAAGAAUCAUCACCACUACAAGCUGUUUUAUCGACUUAGAUAUAUAUGAUAAAUUCUUGGAAGCAUUAGUUAUUGAUCAUUAUAAGCUUUUCUUUGUAGUUAGGAAUGCUAUAUUCUACAGGUACAUUACCUAUAAUUUAAGUUUGUAUACAUUUGUAGUUGGAUAUUUGAAUGGUAUGAGAUCUUUCGAUAUUAU